Molecule: ribosomal RNA, 236 nt
Filed under: uncultured bacterium
Lineage: Bacteria
Description: partial 16S ribosomal RNA
Rfam family: Bacterial small subunit ribosomal RNA
Source: RNAcentral
GAACGGGUGCGUAACACGUGAGCAACCUACCGAAAUGCGGGGGAUAGGCCGGCCUAACGGCCGAGUAAUACCGCAUACGCUCUUUAUGAGGCAUUUCAUGGAGGAGGAAACCUACGGGGUAUUUCGAGGGGCUCGCGGCCUAUCAGCUAGUUGGCGAGGUAACGGCUCACCAAGGCAACGACGGGUAGCUGGUCUGAGAGGACGACCAGCCACACUGGCACUGCGACACGGGCCAG